This 475-nucleotide ribosomal RNA is filed under the name uncultured bacterium. RNAcentral's name for it is "bacterial SSU rRNA". It matches the Rfam family "Bacterial small subunit ribosomal RNA", at positions 33 to 507 of the family's 1533-position model. The record is from RNAcentral.
AGGACACGCUGGCGGCGUGCCUAACACAUGCAAGUCGAGCGGAGAUGUACUGAAGAUUUAUCGGAUGUACAUCUUAGCGGCGGACGGGUGAGUAACGCGUGGGCAACCUGCCUUCCACUGGGGAUAACACAGGGAAACCUGUGCUAAUACCGCAUGACAUCACAUAGGGCAUCCUGUGUGAUCAAAGGAGUGAUCCGGUGGAAGAGUGGGCCCGCGUCCGAUUAGCUAGUUGGUGAGGUAACGGCUCACCAAGGCGACGAUCGGUAGCCGGACUGAGAGGUUGGCCGGCCACAUUGGGACUGAGACACGGCCCAGACUCCGUACGGGAGGCAGCAGGUGGGGAAUAUUGCGCAAUGGGGGGAACCCUGACGCAGCGACGCCGCGUGAAGGAAGAAGGCCUUCGGGUUGUAAACUUCUUUGAUGAGGGACGAAGGAAGUGACGGUACCUCAAAAACAAGCCACGGCUAACUACGUG